RNAcentral lists this ribosomal RNA (936 nucleotides) under Triticum aestivum (bread wheat). RNAcentral describes it as "partial small subunit ribosomal RNA". The record is from RNAcentral. Lineage: Eukaryota; Viridiplantae; Streptophyta; Magnoliopsida; Poales; Poaceae.
AUGAGGCUUCUUCGUACAGAAGACCAUGGUUGGUGCGUUAGCAUCUUCAGUAAUGAGCAUAACCAUCAUCUGUCUGGAAAUCGAGAGGAGACAAGGGAAUGGCAUUCACACAGUGAGAUCAACCCUGUACUUAUGAACUUCAUCAAGGAUUUGAGAGAGAACAAUAUCAGUCUCAGCAAGGUGCACAACAUACUAAAUGCAACACAUGGUGAUCAGGCUGGUGCACCGUUCCGUAAGCAAUCUUUAAGGUAUCUAUGCUCUCGGAUUGCUCAGGAUGCGAUAUCUGACGACAUGGAAAAAACUGUAAAAUUGCUAGAUGAAAUGAAGCGUGUGGAUCCAAGCCUGUCAGUUUUUUUAGAAAUCGAUCAUGAGGGUUCCCCUAAGUUCACCUUAUGGUGUACUGGGAAGAAUAAACAGGAUUAUAUGUACUUUGGUGACGUGGUCACUUUCGACACAACAUACAAAACCAAUCUUUAUAAUAUGCCGUCUGGUAUUUUUGUUGGCGUGAACAAUCACUACCAGUCAACCAUUUUUGGAGGUGUGCUCAUGCGCGAGGAAACAGUAGCUGGAUUCGAGUGGGCUUUCGGAAAUUUUGUUGAAGUUAUGAAUCGGAAACAUCCGGUCACCAUCCUAACAGAUCAGUGUAGAGCGAUGAAAGGUGCAAUAAGAAAUGUACUUCCAAAUACAAGACACCGUUGGUGUAAAUGGCAUGUGAUCAAGUGUGCUAAAGAACAUCUCGGAGGUGUCUACAGCAAGAAGAGUUUAUUCAAAGAAGAAUUCCACAGACUCAUAAAUGAGGUCCUUUGUGUUUCCGAGUUUGAGGACAAAUGGGCCGAACUCCUGGAUAAGCGGACACAACCAUACAUGGACCUGGUACAACCAUUAACACUUGUACCAGGUACAUACGUCCAGUUAGGUGUUUCUAGUACAACAUGA